RNAcentral lists this ribosomal RNA (544 nucleotides) under uncultured bacterium. RNAcentral describes it as "bacterial SSU rRNA". It matches the Rfam family "Bacterial small subunit ribosomal RNA", at positions 777 to 1319 of the family's 1533-position model. The record is from RNAcentral.
AAUAGAUACCCCGGUAGUCCACGCUGUAAACGAUGAGGACUAAAUGUUGGUAGGGGAACCUAUCGGUAUUGAAGCUAACGCGAUAAGUCUUCCGCCUGGGAAGUACGGCCGCAAGGUUGAAACUCAAAUGAAUUGACGGGGGGCCCGCACAAGCGGUGGAGCAUGUGGUUUAAUUCGAUGCAACGCGAAGAACCUUACCUACCCUUGACAUCCUGCGAAUCCCGAUGAGAGUUGGGAGUGCCGCAAGGAGCGCAGAGACAGGUGCUGCAUGGCUGUCGUCAGCUCGUGUUGCGAGAUGUUGGGUUAAGUCCCGUAACGAGCGCAACCCUUGUCCUUAGUUGCCAGCAUUAAGUUGGGGACUCUAAGGAGACUGCCGGUGAGGAACCGGAGGAAGGCGGGGACGGACGUCAAGUCAUCAUGGCCUUUAUGGGUAGGGCUACACACGUGCUACAAUGGGGCGUACAGAGGGUCGCGAACCCGCGAGGGGGAGCCAAUCUCAUAAAGCGUCUCGUAGUCCGGUAUUGGAGUCGUGCAACUCGACUCC